GGCCAAACUCCAUCACCAACCAAACACAACCUCUUGGCUUUAUUUAACUUGUGCCUUGCGGAUGUUUUCGUUGUCGAGGGAAUACGAACGUCGUACGAGAACCUUUCUCCCUCCUCCACCUUUCUCCUUUUCUUGCCACGGCAAAACACCUUCGCCGGCGAGAGCAUGGCGAUGGCGUACCGUGUCCUGGAGGUCACCCUGGUGUCGGCAAAUGACCUCAAGAAAGUGUCGCUCUUCUCCCGGACUCGCAUCUACGCCGUGGCUUCCAUCUCCGGAUUCGACCUCCGCAUCCCUUCCCACAGCACCCAAGCAGACCACAGCAACGGCUGCAACCCCUGCUGGAACGCCGUGGUACACUUCCCCAUCCCGGCUGCCGCUGACACCCGCGGCCUCGCACUCCACGUGAGGCUCCGCGCCCAGCGUCUAUACCUGGGCGAUCGCGACAUCGGCGAGGUGUUUGUGCCCAUCGACGACCUCCUGGCCGGCGCCGACAAGGGUGGCGAUCCGAGGCCCGUGAGCUACCAGGUGCGCAGGCCGCACUCUGGCCGCGCCCACGGCGUCCUCUACUUCUGCUAUAAGUUCACCGAGGUCCCCGCCGUCUCUUGUGUCUCGGAACCGGAAAGCAAACAAGUCCAGUACGCCAAGAAGUACGUGCAGGACUCCAAGAACACGACGGACAAGACUAUGGUGCCGCCCACCGUGUACCCACCGCCGCAGGCCAUGGCGUCCGCAUACCCGCCGCAACAAUAUUGUUCGCCGU
Molecule: long non-coding RNA, 760 nt
Filed under: Zea mays
Lineage: Eukaryota; Viridiplantae; Streptophyta; Magnoliopsida; Poales; Poaceae
Description: long non-coding RNA (ZMAY_LNC001611)
Source: RNAcentral